CUAAUACUCCCUCCGUCCCAAAAUUUUUGUCUUAAAUUUGUCUAAAUACGGAUGUAUCAAAUCAUGUUUUAGUAUUAGAUUCAUCCGUAUAUAGACAAAUCUAAGACAAUAAUUUUAGGACGUAGGGAUCAUGAU
Non-coding RNA from Triticum aestivum (bread wheat), 135 nucleotides. Lineage: Eukaryota; Viridiplantae; Streptophyta; Magnoliopsida; Poales; Poaceae. The record is from Rfam.